This is a non-coding RNA of Pantherophis guttatus, 1440 nucleotides long. NCBI's taxonomy places the organism in Eukaryota, Metazoa, Chordata, Lepidosauria, Squamata, Colubridae. The record is from RefSeq and is a predicted model, not a curated record.
CAUGAAAGGGAGGAACUUUGUGCCAAGGUCCUGAUUAAUGAAUGGAUAGUUUUCCACAACUACAUAGAAUCACAGAUAUUGUACUAUCUCCUAGGGAGCUAGGCAAGAAUUAAAAUACUGACCAUUUAAAAUUAAAAGGAAGGAAGAAAAAGUUGGGACAAACAUUAUAGCUGUCAUAAUGCAGUGGCAACAUUACUUGGCAGAAAAGCAUUUACUACAAUGUUCGGUAACCAACAACACAGAUAUAUCUGCUGCAUCUGUCCACUUUAACCUUCAUGGGCUCUAGAAAAUUGUAAACUAUUUUUGCUGAACUUGAGUGGGGAAAACCAGUUUCCAACCGCAAGCAGAAGCGCAACACUGUUGACUUGUAUGCAGGCCUUUUGCAUCCGUGUAUACAUUCUAUGUUGGCCCCAUUAGUGAAAGAAACAAAAGGAUGCGUCUCAGCACACUGCCAAAACCAGGUCGGAGGCCACUGAAACCGUCAAGCAACCGAGAGAGCAGCUUCAGGAUUAACUGUUUCCUACUCACCGGUGUAUCCCAGGGUUGCGACAGCUUCUCCAUUUUUCACACACUUCGAGCCGGAGGCCGCCAUUUUGGCUCGGAGGAAAUUGCGUCAUCCUUCCUUCGCCAGCUGCUGAGCAUCGCGAGGUUUCUUGGGACCAAUCGCUUUCCCGGGAAAAUCGAAGGGCGGCUUCGUCCCUGCCAUCUGCGCAGCCUUGGGCCGCUGUGUUUGUUAAGCACGUCCGUUUGCCCGGAACGAAAUCCCACAGCCCAGGAGGGCCUUUGUUUCCCGAGACCCAGGCCUGCGCGUGAACUGGGUCAGCCAUGUGCCGCCCUGUUGCCUUUUUUUUAAGAUGAAGGUGAUGAGAUGGACUAGAGGCGAUAAGUGACACAAAGCCCCCUUUUCAAAGCCUGUUUUCACAUUCACGGAACGUUCGUAACCGGCGAGGAAAGGGAAGAUUCUGGAAACGGAAGAUUCGGAGGCGAAAAUCACACGCAAAACGAGUUUCCAGGGUUAAUUUUGGAACUGAAAACUUCUAGUGAGGCGUCCAGCGUUACGUCUGUUUUCUUAAAGCAGCGUAGAAAGCCCCUCCGUGUGUGUGUGUGAAGCGUCCACGGAGAAUUCCUUCGGUUUGAUAGGAUGGGUAUAUCGGCAUAUGGAAGAUUUUCCUUUCAAGAUGAAGAAAAUUUCUGAUGACUUCCCAACAAUAUGGAAGCGACUCCGUCUUGCUAUUUUUUUCGGCUGACUUCCCGAUAUAUUCAGGAGUUCUGAUGGAACUGAUCCCUGUUAACUUAAAUCAUAAGUUGGUUUGGGGCCUCUAACUAAUUGGGGUAAAAGUGUCCCAGUAUCCUGACUUUAAACAUAAUAAAGUUCGUAUUGUUAUAGAAUUGGAAGUUCAUUUUAAAUCUAAAAAGUUAAAACAUCAUAUAUUCUGGGUA